UGAGUAACCUGCCCUUAACUCUGGGAUAAGCCUGGGAAACUGGGUCUAAUACCGGAUAUGACUCCUCAUCGCAUGGUGGGGGGUGUAAAGCUUUUUGUGGUUUUGGAUGGACUCGCGGCCUAUCAGCUUGUUGGUGAGGUAAUGGCUUACCAAGGCGACGACGGGUAGCCGGCUGAGAGGGUGACCGGCCACACUGGGACUGAGACACGGCCCAGACCUCCGUACGGGGAGCAG
RNAcentral lists this ribosomal RNA (234 nucleotides) under uncultured bacterium. RNAcentral's name for it is "partial 16S ribosomal RNA". It matches the Rfam family "Bacterial small subunit ribosomal RNA", at positions 118 to 351 of the family's 1533-position model. The record is from RNAcentral.